GAUGAACGCUGGCGGCGUGCCUAAUACAUGCAAGUCGAGCGAACAGACGAGGAGCUUGCUCCACUGACGUUAGCGGCGGACGGGUGAGUAACACGUGGAUAACCUACCUAUAAGACUGGGAUAACUUCGGGAAACCGGAGCUAAUACCGGAUAAUAUAUUGAACCGCAUGGUUCAAUAGUGAAAGACGGUUUUGCUGUCACUUAUAGAUGGAUCCGCGCCGCAUUAGCUAGUUGGUAAGGUAACGGCUUACCAAGGCAACGAUGCAUAGCCGACCUGAGAGGGUGCUCGGCCACACUGGAACUGAGACACGGUCCAGACUCCUACGGGAGGCAGCAGUAGGGAAUCUUCCGCAAUGGGCGAAAGCCUGACGGAGCAACGCCGCGUGAGUGAUGAAGGUCUUCGGAUCGUAAAACUCUGUUAUUAGGGAAGAACAAAUGUGUAAGUAACUAUGCACGUCUUGACGGUACCUAAUCAGAAAGCCACGGCGAACUACGU
This 496-nucleotide ribosomal RNA is filed under the name uncultured bacterium. RNAcentral's name for it is "partial 16S ribosomal RNA". It matches the Rfam family "Bacterial small subunit ribosomal RNA", at positions 28 to 506 of the family's 1533-position model. The record is from RNAcentral.